This 496-nucleotide ribosomal RNA is filed under the name uncultured bacterium. RNAcentral's name for it is "partial 16S ribosomal RNA". It matches the Rfam family "Bacterial small subunit ribosomal RNA", at positions 28 to 507 of the family's 1533-position model. The record is from RNAcentral.
GACGAACGCUGGCGGCGUGCCUAAUACAUGCAAGUUGAGCGCUGAAGGUUGGUACUUGUACCGACUGGAUGAGCAGCGAACGGGUGAGUAACGCGUGGGAAUCUGCCUUUGAGCGGGGGACAACAUUUGGAAACGAAUGCUAAUACCGCAUAAAAACUUUAAACACAAGUUUUAAGUUUGAAAGAUGCAAUUGCAUCACUCAAAGAUGAUCCCGCGUUGUAUUAGCUAGUUGGUGAGGUAAAGGCUCACCAAGGCGAUGAUACAUAGCCGACCUGAGAGGGUGAUCGGCCACAUUGGGACUGAGACACGGCCCAAACUCCUACGGGAGGCAGCAGUAGGGAAUCUUCGGCAAUGGACGAAAGUCUGACCGAGCAACGCCGCGUGAGUGAAGAAGGUUUUCGGAUCGUAAAACUCUGUUGGUAGAGAAGAACGUUGGUGAGAGUGGAAAGCUCAUCAAGUGACGGUAACUACCCAGAAAGGGACGGCUAACUACGUG